UAGCGGUGAAUAGUGGAGUAGCGG
This 24-nucleotide microRNA is filed under the name Lotus japonicus. Its description in RNAcentral is "lja-miR11172-5p". Lineage: Eukaryota; Viridiplantae; Streptophyta; Magnoliopsida; Fabales; Fabaceae. The record is from miRBase by way of RNAcentral.